UGGACUUUGUAAAACUGGAGACAGUUGAGAAGCCCUCUGGCCGAGACUCUGAAUCCUCUGCUGCUUCAAUAAAAGAGUACUUAGUGGAGGAUCACAUUUUCAGAAUUGACUGUUAUUUAGGAAGGACCUAGUGGAAACCUUUCUGUUCAUCGUUUCUCCAAUCUAAUCUUGAACCCUUAUGGUCAAGACAAUACAUAAAGACUUUGGUCCUGAACUGAAGGACGAGGAGGGUUAGGGCAAACGUGAACGGUAGGAUUCGAACCUGCGCGGGCAGAGCCCACAUGAUUUCUAGUCAUGCCCGAUAACCACUCCGGCACGUCCACUGGA
Long non-coding RNA from Papaver somniferum (opium poppy), 327 nucleotides. RefSeq lists it as uncharacterized. The transcript is spliced from 3 exons. The record is from RefSeq and is a predicted model, not a curated record. Lineage: Eukaryota; Viridiplantae; Streptophyta; Magnoliopsida; Ranunculales; Papaveraceae.